GAGUAAUGUCUGGGAAACUGCCUGAUGGAGGGGGAUAACUACUGGAAACGGUGGCUAAUACCGCAUAACGUCGCAAGACCAAAGAGGGGGACCUUCGGGCCUCUUGCCAUCAGAUGUGCCCAGAUGGGAUUAGCUUGUUGGUGAGGUAACGGCUCACCAAGGCGACGAUCCCUAGCUGGUCUGAGAGGAUGACCAGCCACACUGGAACUGAGACACGGUCCAGACUCCUACGGGAGGCAGCAGUGGGGAAUAUUGCACAAUGGGCGCAAGCCUGAUGCAGCCAUGCCGCGUGUAUGAAGAAGGCCUUCGGGUUGUAAAGUACUUUCAGCGGGGAGGAAGGUGUUGUGGUUAAUAACCGCAGCAAUUGACGUUACCCGCAGAAGAAGCACCGGCUAACUCCGUGCCAGCAGCCGCGGUAAUACGGAGGGUGCAAGCGUUAAUCGGAAUUACUGGGCGUAAAGCGCACGCAGGCGGUCUGUCAAGUCGGAUGUGAAAUCCCCGGGCUCAACCUGGGAACUGCAUUCGAAACUGGCAGGCUUGAGUCUUGUAGAGGGGGGUAGAAUUCCAGGUGUAGCGGUGAAAUGCGUAGAGAUCUGGAGGAAUACCGGUGGCGAAGGCGGCCCCCUGGACAAAGACUGACGCUCAGGUGCGAAAGCGUGGGGAGCAAACAGGAUUAGAUACCCUGGUAGUCCACGCCGUAAACGAUGUCUACUUGGAGGUUGUGCCCUUGAGGCGUGGCUUCCGGAGCUAACGCGUUAAGUAGACCGCCUGGGGAGUACGGCCGCAAGGUUAAAACUCAAAUGAAUUGACGGGGGCCCGCACAAGCGGUGGAGCAUGUGGUUUAAUUCGAUGCAACGCGAAGAACCUUACCUGGUCUUGACAUCCACGGAAGAAUUCAGAGAUGGAUUUGUGCCUUCGGGAACCGUGAGACAGGUGCUGCAUGGCUGUCGUCAGCUCGUGUUGUGAAAUGUUGGGUUAAGUCCCGCAACGAGCGCAACCCUUAUCCUUUGUUGCCAGCGGUCCGGCCGGGAACUCAAAGGAGACUGCCAGUG
Molecule: ribosomal RNA, 1052 nt
Filed under: Salmonella enterica
Lineage: Bacteria; Pseudomonadati; Pseudomonadota; Gammaproteobacteria; Enterobacterales; Enterobacteriaceae
Description: bacterial SSU rRNA
Rfam family: Bacterial small subunit ribosomal RNA
Source: RNAcentral